This is a long non-coding RNA of Mytilus californianus (California mussel), 640 nucleotides long. RefSeq lists it as uncharacterized. The transcript is spliced from 7 exons. NCBI's taxonomy places the organism in Eukaryota, Metazoa, Mollusca, Bivalvia, Mytilida, Mytilidae. The record is from RefSeq and is a predicted model, not a curated record.
UAUCUGUACAACAACCAAAUAACUGCAAUACAACAAGGAACAUUUCAAGACCUUCCAGCGCUGGACCGUCUGUAUUUGUACAGCAAUCAGAUAACUUCAAUACAGGAAGGAGCAUUUCAAGACCUACCAGCGCUAACCUCUCUAUAUCUGUACAAUAAUCAAAUAACUACAAUACAACAAGGAACAUUUCAAGACCUUCCAGCGCUAGACCGUCUGGAUUUGUACAGCAAUCUAAUAACUUCAAUACAGGAAGGAACAUUUCAAGACCUACCAGCGCUAACCUCUCUAGACCUGUCAAAUAAUUAUUUAACCAUGCUUGAAGAAAAUGUAUUCCAAAACCUGACGGCGCUUCAAACCUUGGAUUUAUCUGACAAUCCACUGAAAUGUGUCAACUGUGAAUUGUUACAACUCAAGUUAUUUCUACAAAAUCAGACUCUUGGUAAUGCAGGCGCAAUGUGUAAUGGAACAAGUAUAAUGGUAGUUGACUUUAAUUUCACAGAUUGCACAGCACGCGAAAGUGCUGACGUCAUAACAACAACGGAAACAACGACUGACGCUCUAGCAUCAACCUCCAAUACUGUUCAAACUACAGUAAUUACAACACAAGAUGAUCAAUUAACAUCAACAGUUACUUUGGUUA